This 373-nucleotide ribosomal RNA is filed under the name uncultured organism. Its description in RNAcentral is "partial 16S ribosomal RNA". It matches the Rfam family "Bacterial small subunit ribosomal RNA", at positions 527 to 896 of the family's 1533-position model. The record is from RNAcentral.
GUAGGUGGCAAGCGUUGUCCGGAAUUAUUGGGGCGUAAAGCGCGCGCAGGCGGUUUCUUAAGUCUGAUGUGAAAGCCCACGGGCUCAACCGUGGAGGGUCAUUGGAAACUGGGGAACUUGAGUGCAGAAGAGGAAAGUGGAAUUCCACGUGUAGCGGUGAAAUGCGUAGAGAUGUGGAGGAACACCAGUGGCGAAGGCGACUUUCUGGUCUGUAACUGACGCUGAGGCGCGAAAGCGUGGGGAGCAAACAGGAUUAGAUACCCUGGUAGUCCACGCCGUAAACGAUGAGUGCUAAGUGUUAGAGGGUUUCCGCCCUUUAGUGCUGCAGCUAACGCAUUAAGCACUCCGCCUGGGGAGUACGGUCGCAAGACUG